CAAGUCGUACGAAGACCUUCGGUCUUAGUGGCGGACGGGUGAGUAACACGUGAGAAUCUGCCCUUAGGAAGAGAAUAACAAUUGGAAACGGUUGCUAAUACUCUAUAUGCCGAGAGGUAAAAGGACUUAUCCACCUUAGGAAGAGCUCGCGUCUGAUUAGCUAGUUGGUAAGGUAAUGGCUUACCAAGGCGACGAUCAGUAGCUGGUUUGAGAGGACGACCAGCCACACUGGGACUGAGACACGGCCCAGACUCCUACGGGAGGCAGCAGUGGGGAAUUUUCCGCAAUGGGCGAAAGCCUGACGGAGCAAUACCGCGUGAGGGAUGACGGCCUGUGGGUUGUAAACCUCUUUUCUCAAGGAAGAAGUUCUGACGGUACUUGAGGAAUAAGCAUCGGCUAACUCUGUGCCAGCAGCCGCGGUAAUACAGAGGAUGCAAGCGUUAUCCGGAAUCACUGGGCAUAAAGCGUCUGUAGGUUGCUUGCCAAGUCUGCUGUUAAAGACUAGGGCCUAACCCUGGGAAAGCAGUGGAAACUAGCAGGCUUGAGUGUGGUAGAGGUAGAGGGAAUUCCUGGUGUAGCGGUGAAAUGCGUAGAUAUUAGGAAGAACACCAAUGGCGAAAGCACUCUGCUGGGCCACAACUGACACUGAGAGACGACAGCUAGGGGAGCAAAUGGGAUUAGAUACCCCAGUAGUCCUAGCCGUAAACGAUGGAUACUAGGUGUUGCACGUAUUAACCCGUGCAGUAUCGUAGCUAAGGCGUUAAGUAUCCCGCCUGGGAAGUACGCUCGCAAGAGUGAAACUCAAGGGAAUUGACGG
RNAcentral lists this ribosomal RNA (817 nucleotides) under uncultured bacterium. Its description in RNAcentral is "bacterial SSU rRNA". It matches the Rfam family "Bacterial small subunit ribosomal RNA", at positions 58 to 916 of the family's 1533-position model. The record is from RNAcentral.